Non-coding RNA from Paramuricea clavata, 555 nucleotides. NCBI's taxonomy places the organism in Eukaryota, Metazoa, Cnidaria, Anthozoa, Malacalcyonacea, Plexauridae. The record is from the annotation of a GenBank genome assembly.
GGCCUACGUUUUGGACGAAACGUUGUGUACGUUUUGGUGAUCUUAACCGCAUGGCAAAAAGUAACCUGUAUGGCACGAGGUAACAUUUUCAUAUCCAUCUUAACCCACGACCAUGCAAUUCCAUCUCCAUACCUGCCAAAGCGGGCAAAAGUAGCACUGGCGAUAUGUUACCCAAUACUAAAUAUCGUAUUCAAUGUUAAGUUAUAAUAUUUACCAAUGUAAUAAAUUAUCGUUGGAAACAUAAUGAGAAACUCCAGCGAAUACACAAUUUGCAGGAAAUAGUAAUGGUGGAAGGUUGUCUCGGCCCAAGCAUGAUCCAUUAUUGAAAAGAAUGCCAAAAAAAUAGCAUUUCCUAAAACAUAGAAUGCAAUUGUAUGUUAAUGACUCAAUGCAUGCAAGUAGAUCCUAUGAAAUUUCGGACUAGACUACAAGGGACACAAAACCAUCACCUGCAUGCAUGAGGACAAUAACGAAUUAUAAAAUAAAGCAAGUAUCUUAUUCUCAAGAAAUACGAGAUAUUAAGUAUAUGGUGUAAUUUGGAUACUCAUAUCAUGC